GUGGAUUAGUGGCGAACGGGUGAGAAGGGUGAGUAACCUGCCCUUAACUCUGGGAUAAGCCUGGGAAACUGGGUCUAAUACCGGAUAGGAGCGUCCACCGCAUGGUGGGUGUUGGAAAGAUUUAUCGGUUUUGGAUGGACUCGCGGCCUAUCAGCUUGUUGGUGAGGUAAUGGCUCACCAAGGCGACGACGGGUAGCCGGCCUGAGAGGGUGACCGGCCACACUGGGACUGAGACACGGCCCAGACUCCUACGGGAGGCAGCAGUGGGGAAUAUUGCACAAUGGGCGCAAGCCUGAUGCAGCGACGCCGCGUGAGGGAUGACGGCCUUCGGGUUGUAAACCUCUUUCAGUAGGGAAGAAGCGAAAGUGACGGUACCUGCAGAAGAAGCACCGGCUAACUACGUGCCAGCAGCCGCGGUAAUACGUAGGGUGCGAGCGUUAUCCGGAAUUAUUGGGCGUAAAGAGCUCGUAGGCGGUUUGUCGCGUCUGUCGUGAAAGUCCGGGGCUUAACCCCGGAUCUGCGGUGGGUACGGGCAGACUAGAGUGCAGUAGGGGAGACUGGAAUUCCUGGUGUAGCGGUGGAAUGCGCAGAUAUCAGGAGGAACACCGAUGGCGAAGGCAGGUCUCUGGGCUGUAACUGACGCUGAGGAGCGAAAGCAUGGGGAGCGAACAGGAUUAGAUACCCUGGUAGUCCAUGCCGUAAACGUUGGGCACUAGGUGUGGGGACCAUUCCACGGUUUCCGCGCCGCAGCUAACGCAUUAAGUGCCCCGCCCUGGGGAGUACGGCCGCAAGGCUAAAACUCAAAGGAAUUGACGGGGGGCCCGCACAAGCGGCGGAGCAUGCGGAUUAAUUCGAUGCAACGCGAAGAACCUUACCAAGGCUUGACAUGUUCUCGAUCGCCGUAAGA
Molecule: ribosomal RNA, 907 nt
Rfam family: Bacterial small subunit ribosomal RNA